Molecule: ribosomal RNA, 270 nt
Filed under: uncultured bacterium
Lineage: Bacteria
Description: partial 16S ribosomal RNA
Rfam family: Bacterial small subunit ribosomal RNA
Source: RNAcentral
AAUCAACGCUGGCGGCGUGCCUAACACGUGCAAGUCGAACGCGAAAGUCCCGCAAGGGAUCAGUAGAGUGGCAAACGGGUGAGUAACGCGUGGGUGACCUGCCUUCGAGCGGGGGAUAACGUCCCGAAAGGGACGCUAAUACCGCAUAACAUCCUGCCUUUUAACAGGCGGAGAUCAAAGCUGGGGAUCGCAAGACCUAGCACUCGAUGAGGGGCCCGCGUCUGAUUAGUUAGUUGGGAGGUAACGGCUCACCAAGGCGACGAUCAGUAU